Long non-coding RNA from Photinus pyralis (common eastern firefly), 396 nucleotides. RefSeq lists it as uncharacterized. The transcript has 2 exons. The record is from RefSeq and is a predicted model, not a curated record. NCBI's taxonomy places the organism in Eukaryota, Metazoa, Arthropoda, Insecta, Coleoptera, Lampyridae.
CCAGGUGAUCGUGACCUAAUCUCAUUGAAUUGAAAUCACAUAACGAGUGUUUAAAAGUUGUGGUUACUGCUACACCAGGCAUGUCCUGUAUUUUGCCGUACACUGUACAUAGGACAGCUUAAUGUUAGUUAUAACCUCAAAAAAAUUAUAAACUACACCUUCGAAUUCGAAGUGAUUAUACAUAAUUUAUUUACAUUAUGAGUGAUAGAAAUAUUGACCAAAGUCUCAGAAAGCCUAGACGCACCAAAGGAACUCCAUUCUACAGACAACGACACUAUUAUUCUUUGGGCUUUCUUGGUUUAAGUGCGAUAUGUGGAUGGCUUUAUUUGUCGUGGAGUGAAGCGAGGAAACUUGGCAAAGAUGCGGAGAACGGUAAAUUUGAUUAUCCCGAUUCAU